GGCUCUUAAAGGGACCUGGACUCUGAGGCGUAAUUGCCCCGUAGCUAGCACAAAGGAGCCCAUUAUGGUUCUUUGUGUUCAGUGGCACCUCAAAGAUUUUAAAUUUGAGAAGGGGGAGGGGGUCGAGGAGGAGUUUGCAUGUAAAUCUCCUGGGCCUGGUGCUGGAUGAUGGAUCAAUUAUUUUCUGUGGUCUCUCCCGAGGGGUGUCGUGACGGGGGGCCGGGGGGAGGGGAGGCGCACUUAAAAAAAAGAGAAUUGAGUUUAGAAAGCCCCUUUGCUUCACAGUGUGGACCAAAUCCUCACAGUCUGGUGAACCGUUUCUUGCUCCAAUAUAGAAAAGAAGUGUUUUAAACUACAGCAGCAGAAGAAAAUAACAAAAAGAAGGAGUAGGGAGAAGGAAAUAAUGUUCUAAGUAGAUGGAUACAGGGAUCCAGGUUUGACAGGAUUCAAAAAAAAAAUUUUUUUUUUCCGGAUUGAAUGAAAUGAAUAAAGAUGUUCCAGUUCCUUA
This is a long non-coding RNA of Sapajus apella (tufted capuchin), 508 nucleotides long. RefSeq lists it as uncharacterized. The transcript has 2 exons. The record is from RefSeq and is a predicted model, not a curated record. Lineage: Eukaryota; Metazoa; Chordata; Mammalia; Primates; Cebidae.